RNAcentral lists this transfer RNA (72 nucleotides) under Ictidomys tridecemlineatus (thirteen-lined ground squirrel). Its description in RNAcentral is "Spermophilus tridecemlineatus (thirteen-lined ground squirrel) tRNA". It matches the Rfam family "tRNA". Rfam says of the family: Transfer RNA (tRNA) molecules are approximately 80 nucleotides in length. Lineage: Eukaryota; Metazoa; Chordata; Mammalia; Rodentia; Sciuridae. The record is from Rfam by way of RNAcentral.
GGAGGUGUAGCUCAGUGGUAUAGCACUUGCCUAUCAUGUUUGAAGCCCUGGGUUUGGUCCCUAGCACCACCC